CUUGGUCAUUUAGAGGAAGUAAAAGUCGUAACAAGGUUUCCGUAGGUGAACCUGCGGAAGGAUCAUUAACGAAUUCACGGGAGUCCUUCUCGGACUCUCGUAAUCCAAACACAAACACCCGUGAACUUCUCGAGCGAGUCGAACAGGUGGGGAAGAGAUUCCCCGGCUGGGACGGCUUGCCCCUUUACAAACUCAUUGUCAAACGAAUCAGGAAGCGAUACGCGGCUCAGCCGUAUUAAUCAUAAUACAACUUUCAACAACGGAUCUCUUGGCUCUCGCAUCGAUGAAGAACGCAGCGAAAUGCGAUAAGUAAUGUGAAUUGCAGAAUUCAGUGAAUCAUCGAAUCUUUGAACGCACCUUGCGCUCCUUGGUAUUCCGAGGAGCACGCCUGUUCGAGCGUCAUGAAACCCUUCGGACGGACACGUUUUUCAUUAGACGUGUCUAGCUUCCGGUAUUGGACGUCUGCCGUGCUCCCGCUACGGCUCGUCCCAAAUGCAUGAGCUGGUCCAAGCACCGACUUCGGUUCCACUCGACGUGAUAAGUCACAUUCGUCGAGGACGCCUCUCUUCGGAAGGGCGGCCGUGGACGGUCUUAUACGGACUGCUAUCUAAUCCUCUCCCUCGGGAGAGAUACCGUAACCUUUGACCUCGAAUCAGGCGGGACUACCCGCUGAACUUAAGCAUAUCAAUAAGCGGAGGAAAAGAAACUAACAAGGAUUCCCCUAGUAACGGCGAGUGAAGCGGGAUGAGCUCAAAUUUGAAAUCUGGCGGCCUUCGGUCGUCCGAGUUGUAAUCUAGAGAAGCGUUUUCUGCGUCGGACUGUGUACAAGUUUCCUGGAUACGGAACAUCAUAGAGGGUGAGAAUCCCGUCCUUGACACAGGCUCCCGGUGCUCUGCGAUGCGCUCUCGACGAGUCGAGUUGUUUGGGAUUGCAGCUCAAAAUGGGAGGUAAAUUCCUUCUAAAGCUAAAUAUUGGCGAGAGACCGAUAGCGAACAAGUACCGUGAGGGAAAGAUGAAAAGCACUUUGGAAAGAGAGUUAAACAGUACGUGAAAUUGUUGAAAGGGAAACGCUUGAAGU
RNAcentral lists this ribosomal RNA (1078 nucleotides) under uncultured Basidiomycota. RNAcentral describes it as "eukaryotic LSU rRNA". The stretch from base 643 to 1078 matches the Rfam family "Eukaryotic large subunit ribosomal RNA", at positions 1 to 429 of the family's 3401-position model. The record is from RNAcentral. Lineage: Eukaryota; Fungi; Basidiomycota.